RNAcentral lists this long non-coding RNA (873 nucleotides) under Sarcophilus harrisii (Tasmanian devil). Its description in RNAcentral is "lncRNA (ENSSHAG00000031741.1)". Lineage: Eukaryota; Metazoa; Chordata; Mammalia; Dasyuromorphia; Dasyuridae. The record is from RNAcentral.
CUUCCCUCCUUCUUUUCUUUCUUUUCUCACAGCUAGGAAGUGUUAAGUAUCUGAGAUCAGAUUUGAACUCAGGUCCUCCUGACUUCAAGGCUGGUGCUCCAUCCACUGCAUCAUCCGGCUGCCCCCUACAGCUUUUUUCAUCACAGCGUUUUAACUCAUUCAUAAAUCCCCCAGCCCAUACCAAGACACCGUAAGUUUUGCCUAAAACCGAUUUCUCUCCAAGGUUAUACAACAACCAGAUUACCAAUGUUGGAGCCAAAUACGUUGCUAAGAUUGUGGAGGAGUGCACAAACCUCACACACCUGAAACUGGGCUCAAACUACAUAACGAGCGAAGGAGGAAAGUGCCUGGCUUUGGCGGUCAAGAAGAGCAAGUCGAUCAUGGACGUUGGAGCCCCUGAGUCUCCAGAUCAAGUUUAUGGAAGGACAAAGCACUUUACAUCUAUUUUCUUAUCUGCCCUCAGCCGCCACCUCGGUGACUUACCUAGAGCCACGCAGCUAAUAAAUAUCUGGGGCUGGAUUUGAAUUCAGUCCUUCUCCAAGUCUAGCCCUCCACCCACAUGCCGCCCAGCCCCCUGGAACUGCCUGUUAGAAGCUCGGGCUCCACCUCCCCCGGGGAAGAACUCCUGAAACGUCCCCCGGACAAGCGCGCUCUCUUCCAAUUCCUCCUGGACUCCCGGGCCCUCGGCUGGGGGGGUUAUUUGUGCCCAUAUCCUUCCUGCAGUGCCCCCUGAGGGUGGGCCGGGCAGCCUGGUCUCCACAUGCCUCCUGCCCAGCCCACAGGCCUCCGGGACACGGGGGAAGCUUCUCUCUCCAUCCCCUGAGUUCCCCUUUGUGCCAAGUGAGACGGCUUGGGGUCUCUGGUCCGCUGUCU